AAAGACCCCCUGGGUAAUCUAAAAAUGAAGUUUUCUGUUUAAAAGUUGUUUUUAAUGUUCUUCAUAGCCCUAUGUGCAACCAGAAAAUGGGUUGCCUUUUCAUUUUAAACAUAAGGAAUCAAUGCAAUACCUUAUAUUUGAUAACCUGUGCUAUUGCAUUUGGUCCUCACUACAACUCUGUCCAUAGAUAUUAUUCUUGCCACUUUAUAGAUGGAAAAAUGGAAGCAAAGCCAUCAAGUGCCUUUCCCAGGGUCUUAGAAGAAGUCACCAAGAAGGCUGGUCUGUCUCAAGUCUCGUGACUCCAGUUUAAUAUUCCCCACAAUAAUGUUGGAAAACCACAUUGGAAAGGGAAGACUCCUUCCUAGUACUGCUGUCGCACCACCAAGCUAAAAAGGUCAGGCAAAUAUGUUACUUUAUGGUGAAAUUGGCCACAUCUACUCAGUGUGCCCUAUAUCACAGGCCCUGUGCUUUGCCCUGGGAGGAUUCAGAGAAAGCAAAAGACAGAAGCAAUGGAAACAGGAUCCAGAAGCCUGAAGUGAGACAUCUGGCCAACUGGCCUGUGCUGACACCGUUAAGCCAAACAGACCUCUCAGACAGCCUCUCAGGCCCUGCCCCUGGUUGUGGCCCAGCCCCCAGGGCACGCUGGGCAGGGCCUCCUCUUAGAAAUCCCUCCCAUUGCUUGGCUGUUCCUCCAGAGGAUUCUGAGCUCAGCUGGAUGUGCCUGGCUGUGAUGAGGCAGCCAUGGUCUUGGUCCUCUGGGAAGUCCUGCUUUCCCAUAGGAACUGGAGUCUGGGAAAAAGGAAAACUGUCCUAGAACUAGAAGAAGAGUGCGAGAUCACUCCUGGAUGGUGCUGCCACCUCAUUUGGACAGGCCACUUCCUAAAUGUGCUGUGUGUGCAAAUUCUGUCUCAUUGCCUCAUCUAGUGUUCCUCUAAAUGGAAGCAAAUAGCUUGGCACCAGACUCUCUCCUGGCUUUGAUGAAGCAAGCUUCCAUGUUGGAGAGGCCCACGUGACAAGGAACUGAGGUGGCCUCCAGCCAACUCCAGCCCAUAGCCAGCCAGGAAUUGAGGAUCUCAGUCCAACAGACCUUGAGGAACUGCAUCUUGCCAACAACUACAUAAGUGAGCACGGAACUGGGUCCUGCCCAGUCGAGCCUUCAGAUGAGACCCCAGCCCCAGCUGACACCUAAAUUGCAGCCUUGUGAGAGACCCUGGAGCAGAGAACCCAGAGACCCGUGAGAGUCCACGAUCACUCUCUGACUCAGGUAUCUCUGAAAAAUUGCUCGGAGGUAUCAUCAGUGACAGAGAGUCACGGAUCCUGCAGGGCAGGCCCCACUGAUGUUGGAUGAGCCGCUUUCGAAGGUGAUCAUCUAGUUUCCCUCGAAGCUCCUCACUGAGAGGAAACUCUCCAGGAAGGAUGGAUAUUGAAACAUGGGCUUGGGAGCCCUGGUGAUAAGGAGAGUUGGGAGCUGAAGGACAAAAGUCUUCCUGAGAUCUGUGGACCACAGAGGGUAAACCCCACAAACUUUCCUGUUGCUUCUGCAAUACGUUCCAUUCCAGGUGUUGAAUUUCAGAUGAGCUCCUCAUGUGGUAAUUGAUCCAGGCCUGAAGGCAGGAACUGGGGAGGUCUGGCAAACCAAGGCAUUUUCAUCAGACAGCAGAGCACAAACAAGGUGUGAGGUGACCAGAUGGAGUAAAGCAGAGUGUGCACUGGAACAUCACAGGCAGUGAACUUGGAAGAGGAGGGAGGAGCCAGGUUAAGCAGAAAGCAGUGAUCAGACAGGUUGAAUGAUUCAGUGGAAGUUGAAUCUGAUCUCAUUUUAGCCACGUGUAAGAGGCAACCUGCUGGAAUGUAAUGCUGGAAUUAUCUGAUUGCUGCAGGCCUCUCUUUCUUCUCUGCCCUGGUGAAUGACUGCUAAAGGAAUUUAAAGCCUGUAAAAUACAGUACAUGUCUAUUUGUUGAUUUGGCCAUUGAACUGGACAUCUUGCCUUCUUGCAGGUAAAAUUAGAGAGAGGUAUCACAGAUUCUAGAUUUUAUUUAUAAGGGCAAAGCAUUUAAGUGUAUUCACUUAAGUUGCUUCUUGAUGCAGUGUCUUAUUUCCCUUUAAACUAGACUUCCAGCUGUGAACCCAGAUAUAAAAGCAAAACAAAACAAAACAACAACCCAAUCAAAGAAAUCUCUGUUUAGCUGCAAAGACUGUCGACCUGAAGAAUAGAGUUGACAUGAUGUGAUUGGUCAGUUCACUGAUCUGAAGGAAAGGAAUCCUUUAUUUGUGGCUGGCUAAGGAAGGCCAGUUACAAUGCAUAAAAGCUGAGAAAUGGUAGGAGAAAGUGGAGAAGCAAACAUGAGAAGAGAGAAAAACUGGACAUAAGAAAAGUGUUGGGAACAGAAGAAACAGGAGCCUUUAGAGUUGGUGGUGCCAAUGUUGAAGAAGAUUAUGGUGACCACUGUCACAUUGCUGGUCCCCAAUGGUCCACAUCUCCCAGUAUUUGCCCUUGUGUGGUCGUCUCUCUUUGAACCUGAGCUGAGACUGUGACUUAUUUUAACUAACUGGAGGUAGCAGAGUGCUGCUGUAUCAGUUCUUGAUCUAAGCCUUAAGUUCUGCUUUUGUGUUCUCAGGAACCCUGUCUACCUUAUAAGAAUUUUGUUACCCUGCCAGAGCGACGUGGAGAAGCCAUAGGAGAAGCCACAUAAGAGGGGGAGGCUCUGAGAGAAAAGCCCAGCUGUCCCAGUGUCCCAGUGAAGCCCAGGCCCCUGCUGACCUACCAACUGGAUGAGUCCACAUGAGUGACCAUUGGCAUGAUCAACAGAAGAGUCACCCAGCUAAGCCCAGACUGCAGAAUUGUGAGCAAAUAAAAUGUUUGUUGUUUUAAACCACUAAGUUCUGGAGUGAUUUGUUAUACAGCAAAAGAUAGCUGCUGGUAUGACAAUCGAGGAGAAAAGUAGGGAUCAAGACCCAGUGACUCUGCUCUCUGGGGCAGCAUUGUGUAGAGUGAAGACGCAGGCCUGGGACCAAAGCAAGCUUGGUUCAAAUCCUUACUUUGUCCCUUUUUAGCUCUGUGGCCUUGGGCAAGUUAUUUAAUCUCUCUGGGGCUCAGUCUUAUCUGUAAAACGAGAAAAAUAUUUCUUCCCUCACAGGAUAGUUAAGAAAUGAAAUGAGAAAGUUUGGGGCACAUAGUAAGUAAGUACCCACCAAACAUUAGUUCUCUUCCACUUCCUCCCUGUGGUUCCCUCGCCCCCUGAGGGGGUGAAAGUGAUCCAAACUACAUUGACUCUGAAGGGUGGUCUGGGACCUGCUAAAGGCAGUUCUAUCACAGGUGAGUUUUG
Molecule: long non-coding RNA, 3327 nt
Organism: Diceros bicornis minor
Lineage: Eukaryota; Metazoa; Chordata; Mammalia; Perissodactyla; Rhinocerotidae
Exons: 7
Source: RefSeq, a predicted model, not a curated record